Molecule: long non-coding RNA, 3186 nt
Organism: Thamnophis sirtalis
Lineage: Eukaryota; Metazoa; Chordata; Lepidosauria; Squamata; Natricidae
Source: RefSeq, a predicted model, not a curated record
ACAUCCGCCCCCCCAGGUUUUCCAGCUGCGGAGGUGCUGGACGAAAAGAGGAAUUUCUUGUGUCUCGAAUUCUGCCACGUUUUUCCCGACAGCCUCGCUUACCGGAGUCUUUGCAGUCAGGAGAACAGCGUCUACUACAAGCAGAUAAGUGAUUUUCAUCAGCUUGGGAGUCACGUCAGCUCAUCAGGCAGAGACAAGACCUUCAAUACAUAUCUCUGAGCUCCAGCUGGAAAUGGACCACAGAACAUUAACAGCAUUACAAACAUCAUCUGGUAGAGGAAGGUCACAAUAAUUUUUAAUGUACUAUUUUACCUUUCAAAAACUUUGCGUGUUUGCAUAUACUACAUUGCUCCCCAAUCUUAAACAGGUUUACAGAGGCAUCCCAUAAUACAGUGAAACCUACUUCCAAGUAAGAAUGCCUAAGACUGCAGCCUUAAUUUUCAGUAUAUUUUAGAAAGGACAACUUAAUUUGUAGAAUAUACUACAGUAACCAAUGCUAAAUGUGGUAUUCUUUUGCAUCGGUGAACAGUACUGCAGCAGUAGAAAUUUCCAUUAUUUUUAGAAGCUAGAAAUGAUUUUUUAAAAACGUUUUUGAAGUUAGAAAUAAUUUCAGUCUUUCCAUAUUGAAACUUUCAUGGCUAGCACAAAUGUUUGAAUCCGAGCUUAAGGCAGAUCCAAUGAAAUCAACGGGAAAUCAAAAUAAUGUACUUUUAACUCUUAAGCAAUAGAUAUUUAACAUCUUUUAUAAUCAUGUUUAAAAGAAAUAUAUUUUUGUUUAAUACACAAAAAAUACCAACAGUACCUGACCGUACUAGAUUAGAAGCUUGAUACCAAGAAACAAUUCAAAACAUUGUGAUGAUCGAGAUGAUCUUUAUAGCACUGGAGUUAGUUCCUGAUAAAAUGGUAGAUUAGAAGAUCAGUUGACUUAAAUAUAACAUACUUAGAUUUAAUUUAGGGUCAAACUUUCUAUUUUAGAAAAAGUUAAGGCUACAGCCCUAUAUGCAAUAGUGUAGUAAAUUCCAUGUAAAAUGGGAUAUUUAAAGCAUGUUUGCUUAGGAUUAGGGAGUGACCAGUAUAUUCUUAUGGAAGUUCCUAACAUCUUAAGAGGCUAAGCAUUUCACUGCAUGAACACUCGUAUCACCCAAAAUAAUGGAGGAAAAUUAAACAGUAAAUACCUCUGAGAUCCAAUCAAGUUAGAAUGCUUUGAAGGAAGUAUAUGCUAAAGUGCCAUUUGUCAAAGCAUUCAGUUUACUCUGGAAAUAACCUAAGUAUUAUUGUGUAAUGCCCUUACAUGUCAUGAUUUAUUAAAGAAAUUGGAUUAGUAAUUGACUGAAAUAUAAUUUGCUCAAUCCUUCAGAUAAAAACAAAAGAAAAAGCUGAAGACACUGCAUUUUAGUGCAGUUUUCAGUUAUACAAAAUAGAACUUUCCAUCUGAUAGCAGACUUAAAAUACAUGAUUUUACACCUAAAGCCUUACUUAAAAAAAACAAAAAACAACUUGAGUAGACAGGAGUGAAAUUCAGGCCUCAAAGCCUAAAGGUUUGUACAAUGUCUUUGUGACUGCGCCUCAACAGAAUUCAACAGGAAGACUGCUAAAUAUCAAGGAACCGACUGGCUGCUAUUUGUGCUGAAGGCAACUUGUAAGAAAACCCAUGAAAAACAAGUAGGAGAAUAUUAAUGCUUUAAAACUAGUCAUAUUUAUAAGACUUACGUAAGAGAAACCAUACAUCAGUUAUUGACAUUUGUGAAUAAACAAGCAGAUUUAUUAACAAAGGCAAACAUCAGAAAAGUGGUACAGACUUAAGUGAAACUCACACUGACAGUACGGUAUUUGAGAAAUGUCUGUUGCUUUUAAGUUUAAGAGACCUUUAAUCUAUUAUAGAAGUUUUUGCUCUUUCUCCAGUACAUUUCAACUUAAAUUUAAAAAUAAAUUACCAGACUACUGAAGUAUGUAUAUCUUUGCCCAAGUCCUACAACAGUUUCACUGUUUGCACUGAUGCCACAGUAGCAUGAAAGAACUAGUUCUCAAUUAGUCCAAAGACUAGUACUGAGCCCCAGAAAAUUAAAUACCAAGAUUUACUCAAUAAAAGAGACAGAGAAGCUGUUGUUAAGAGAUAUAGUGGAAUUAUUAUAAAAACCCUAUUUUCCAAGACCACUAAAAAUUGGUCACUCUAUGCCAGUACAAACUAUUAAUAUAAUUUUAAAUCAGAUCUAUUUGAAGUUCCUUUAUUAUAUUUUAAUUGUUGUUUGCUUCUAAAAGGGUUUAAGGAAUCCUGGGGAAUGAAAAAUAAACUUGGUUCUAAUAUACAAGUAAGGCACAAUAUAAAGCCACAUCAUAAUCUGUCAAUGGAGUAAGUGGAUAAAGGACAAGAACCAUACAUGGUACAGAGCAAGUAGUUCAUCAUAGCCAUUCAAAAAAUAGAAGUGUGGCACUCAGUUUCAGACUGACAAUUUUUUAGCAAGAGCAUGCUUUCAAUGGAAAUGAACUGUAAAAUAUCCAGUGUAUGAAAGAGAAUUUAGGGCCUUUUUAAAAAAAUGGAUAACUGCUUUUGAGGGACAUUAGAAUAUCCACAACAUCUAUGCUUAGAAAAUGACCAAAGACUUCAAUAAGAUCCACAUUCCAUGUAUGAAGUUUGAAAACCUUUAGAACUCUUCUAAAGAUAAUCAGCCAAAAAUGCAUGCCACAUUUUCCCCAAACAAAACAUGAAUAUUUGGGUUUUAAAAAUCUUUGUGAUAAUUAUACACUAAACGUAUAUUUAAUGACACUAGAGGAAGCAGAUUGUUACUGGCAUUAAAAGUACAACCAUUUCUAGACUGUUUUAAAUGCCACAGAGUCUCCUGGUUAAAAUGUAAAGUUGCACAGCUUGCCUAUGUCAUCUUUACAAUAAGAUUAAACCAGCAAAGGUCUUAACUUUACUCUACAUUUUACUGCCAGGUUUUAUUUAGAUCAAGUAUCGCUGCAGCAUCCUGACCAGCCCAGAGUUAGCAGCAAAUGGCAGGAAUCAUAUAAAAUGCAAUAUCUUUUUUUCUUUUUUUAAACAAAGUGCUUUUCUAAGAUAUACAUACAUAUAUAAAUAGAUACAAAAUAAAGUGUCACCAUUAAAAAGCUCAACUAUUUAAAAGCUUUUUGACUAUAACUUAAUACAUAGAAAACACUGAAAUGCAAGGGCAUGGAAUCCACUAAAAA